Molecule: long non-coding RNA, 263 nt
Filed under: Gossypium barbadense (sea-island cotton)
Lineage: Eukaryota; Viridiplantae; Streptophyta; Magnoliopsida; Malvales; Malvaceae
Description: long non-coding RNA (GBAR_LNC020660)
Source: RNAcentral
AGAAAAUGCCAUUAUGACAUAUAUGUGGAAAGACCAUGGUCAUGGCACAUUCUGGAAAUGAUGGAUGAGUCGCAUUUGUCUACUAAGGUUUUUGUGUGCCUUAGGGUGAUGAUGGGCAAACCUCAGACAAUGCUAAGUUUCGGUAAAUCUAUAUCGUCAAACACGAUAAUUUAUGUGGUGUCUUGGUGGCAAGCCAAACCAAACCAAACUAGGCCUUUUUGGCAAAUUAUCUGAAAGCGUAUUAUUCGGAAAACCUUAGUGGC